CGCAGGGGUGCUGAUUGCUGAGACGCCGUCCGGGGACUUUCCGUUUCCGGGGGCGAACCCUUUACCUGAUCCGGGUAAUGCCGGCGUAGGGAGCUCA
Molecule: non-coding RNA, 97 nt
Filed under: bovine gut metagenome
Source: RNAcentral